RNAcentral lists this ribosomal RNA (253 nucleotides) under uncultured bacterium. Its description in RNAcentral is "partial 16S ribosomal RNA". It matches the Rfam family "Bacterial small subunit ribosomal RNA", at positions 524 to 776 of the family's 1533-position model. The record is from RNAcentral.
GACAGAGGGUGCAAACGUUGUUCGGAAUUACUGGGCGUAAAGCGUGCGCAGGCGGUUCGUUAUGUCCGAUGUGAAAGCCCCGAGCUUAACUUGGGAAUGGCAUUGGAAACUGGCGGGCUGGAGUGCGGCAGAGGGGGGUGGAAUUCCACGUGUAGCAGUGAAAUGCGUAGAGAUGUGGAGGAACACCGAUGGCGAAGGCAGCCCCCUGGGCCGACACUGACGCUCAGGCACGAAAGCGUGGGGAGCAAACAGG